GUUUCCCCAUUCGUGUUUUCUAGCUGCUGGUGAGCCACCGCAAUGUAUGUCAUGUUCGUGCCUGUUUGCUGUUCAAGAUGCGAUAUACCACGCCCGUGAGGAGACUGGACACGACAAAGAUUACUUUCCGUUAGAUGGUCCAGCUACAGUGGAAGUCACACAGUUGAAAUGUCUAGUUGAUCCUUCACAAUUUAUUAUAUAACUAUUCAUUGAACAACAUUAAUUGAUUAUGUAGAAUGAAAGCAUUGAAGAAUAAAGCAUUGAUUAUGUAAAAUUUAUAGAAUGAACUAACAUGUAACGAAAGGUAAUAUAGAACUGUACGGUUCCAGGAUUUUAUCUCGAUUCCGCUUUCGGUCUUUUGAGGGUGGAAGAACCUCCAUUCUGUUUCGGUAUUUUCAAAAGACAAUCAAUUCAAAACAUUCGCUCAAAAAAUUGUAAAUAACAUAAAAAAAAACUUAUAGCAAGUUAAAUGAAGCGAAAACAUUAUACUCUUAAUGUCUGCUUCCGAUCGAGGGAAAUGGUUUUGUUCUUCCGAGAGUCUCAAUGUUUCCCGAGACGAAGUCGAUGGAUCGAAACAUUGAGAUUAGAGGGGAAGUAAACUAACUAUUUCCUAAGGGAACAUAUAUUAAGUGUUUUGUAGCGAGGAAAGAACGAUCACAACCUCGUACCCAGGGUCUUUUCUCUUGGGGAGAAUAUACCCCGGUAGAUGCUGGUCACGUGAUCUGCUAAAAUCUGACAGAUUUCUAAUUAACUAUUUUGGAUUCCUUCACGACAAUCCUACAAGAUACAAAUUAUAAAUUAAACUAUAAAAAUCAUCCAAAUAUCAAAAUUUAUCGACCUCAUCUUGGAUUGCUAAUUAAGAAUCUGGUAGAUUUUAGCAGAUCACGUGACCAGCGUCUACCAGGGUCUUUUCUCCCCAGGGGGAAGACCCUGGGUACAAGGUUGGAAUUAACGUUCAUUCAAGAAUCGUAUUCCAUGACAAAAACCCUAUAGUGUAAACGAGUUUAAAAUUAAAAGAACCUAUUUAAGGUUACAGAACACCUUUGAGUAUUAAUUUUGCCUAAAAUAUUUUUAUUGGUUUGCAUGAAAGCAUUAGACUAAUUUUACUCUGUGACCAAGUUUGGAC
Molecule: non-coding RNA, 1126 nt
Organism: Paramuricea clavata
Lineage: Eukaryota; Metazoa; Cnidaria; Anthozoa; Malacalcyonacea; Plexauridae
Source: the annotation of a GenBank genome assembly